This 115-nucleotide non-coding RNA is filed under the name Janibacter hoylei. Its description in RNAcentral is "SAM-IV sequence". It matches the Rfam family "SAM (S-adenosyl methionine) riboswitch aptamer". From Rfam's summary of the family: SAM-IV is a mRNA element that regulates gene expression via direct sensing of S-adenosylmethionine (SAM or AdoMet). SAM-IV riboswitches share conserved nucleotide positions with the previously described SAM-I riboswitches sequence analysis and molecular recognition experiments suggest that SAM-I and SAM-IV riboswitches share similar ligand binding sites, but have different scaffolds. Lineage: Bacteria; Bacillati; Actinomycetota; Actinomycetes; Micrococcales; Intrasporangiaceae. The record is from RNAcentral.
GGUCAUGAGUCCCAGCGCGAAGCCCCGGCUGGCUGGGCGGCAACCCUCCUCCCUUCGGUGGGGUGCCCCGGGUGAGGACCUGGGCGCGGUCGACCGACCGGGCCAAGCGAGGGGC